RNAcentral lists this ribosomal RNA (779 nucleotides) under uncultured bacterium. RNAcentral's name for it is "bacterial SSU rRNA". It matches the Rfam family "Bacterial small subunit ribosomal RNA", at positions 95 to 853 of the family's 1533-position model. The record is from RNAcentral.
GUGGCGGACGGGUGAGUAACACGUGGGCAAUCUGCCCUUUAGACUGGAAUAACACCGGGAAACUGGUGCUAAUACCGGAUGAGAUCCAAUGGUGGCAUCACCUAUGGAUGAAAGGAGGCCUCUCUAUAGAAGCUCCCGCUAAAGGAUGAGCCCGCGUCCCAUUAGCUAGUUGGUAAGGUAAUGGCUUACCAAGGCAACGAUGGGUAGCCGGCCUGAGAGGGUGAACGGCCACACUGGGACUGAGACACGGCCCAGACUCCUACGGGAGGCAGCAGUGGGGAAUAUUGCGCAAUGGGGGAAACCCUGACGCAGCAACGCCGCGUGAACGAAGAAGGCUUUCGGGUCGUAAAGUUCUGUCAAGUGGGACGAAGGCUUAUAGGUUAACAGCCUAUGAGAUGACGGUACCUAUAGAGGAAGCUCCGGCUAACUACGUGCCAGCAGCCGCGGUAAUACGUAGGGAGCGAGCGUUGUCCGGAAUUACUGGGCGUAAAGGGCGCGUAGGCGGUUAUUUAAGUCAGAUGUGAAAACCCGAGGCUCAACCUCGGCCUUGCAUUUGAAACUGGAUGACUUGAGGAUGAGAGAGGAAAGUGGAAUUCCUAGUGUAGCGGUGAAAUGCGUAGAUAUUAGGAGGAACACCAGUGGCGAAGGCGACUUUCUGGCUCAUACCUGACGCUGAGGCGCGAAAGCGUGGGGAGCAAACAGGAUUAGAUACCUUGGUAGUGCACNCCGUAAACGAUGGGACUAGGUGUAGGAGGUAUCGACCCUUCNGUGCCGCACUA